RNAcentral lists this ribosomal RNA (143 nucleotides) under Pseudomonas aeruginosa. RNAcentral describes it as "partial 16S ribosomal RNA". It matches the Rfam family "Bacterial small subunit ribosomal RNA", at positions 1 to 139 of the family's 1533-position model. The record is from RNAcentral. Lineage: Bacteria; Pseudomonadati; Pseudomonadota; Gammaproteobacteria; Pseudomonadales; Pseudomonadaceae.
AAAUUGAAGAGUUUGAUCAUGGCUCAGAUUGAACGCUGGCGGCAGGCCUAACACAUGCAAGUCGAGCGGUAGCACAGAGAGCUUGCUCUCGGGUGACGAGCGGCGGACGGGUGAGUAAUGUCUGGGAAACUGCCUACUGCAUA